GAUGAACGCUGGCGGCGUGCCUAAUACAUGCAAGUCGAGCGAACAGACGAGGAGCUUGCUCCUUCGACGUUAGCGGCGGACGGGUGAGUAACACGUAGGUAACCUACCUAUAAGACUGGGAUAACUUCGGGAAACCGGAGCUAAUACCGGAUAAUAUUUCGAACCGCAUGGUUCGAUAGUGAAAGAUGGCUUUGCUAUCACUUAUAGAUGGACCUGCGCCGUAUUAGCUAGUUGGUAAGGUAACGGCUUACCAAGGCAACGAUACGUGGCCGACCUGAGAGGGUGAUCGGCCACACUGGAACUGAGACACGGUCCAGACUCCUACGGGAGGCAGCAGUAGGGAAUCUUCCGCAAUGGGCGAAAGCCUGACGGAGCAACGCCGCGUGAGUGAUGAAGGUCUUCGGAUCGUAAAACUCUGUUAUUAGGGAAGAACAAACGUGUAAGUAACUGUGCACGUCUUGACGGUACCUAAUCAGAAAGCCACGGCUAACUACGUG
RNAcentral lists this ribosomal RNA (497 nucleotides) under uncultured bacterium. RNAcentral describes it as "partial 16S ribosomal RNA". It matches the Rfam family "Bacterial small subunit ribosomal RNA", at positions 28 to 507 of the family's 1533-position model. The record is from RNAcentral.